RNAcentral lists this ribosomal RNA (468 nucleotides) under uncultured bacterium. Its description in RNAcentral is "partial 16S ribosomal RNA". It matches the Rfam family "Bacterial small subunit ribosomal RNA", at positions 28 to 507 of the family's 1533-position model. The record is from RNAcentral.
GACGAACGCUGGCGGCGUGCUUAACACAUGCAAGUCGAACGGAAAGGCCCUGCUUUUGUGGGGUGCUCGAGUGGCGAACGGGUGAGUAACACGUGAGUAACCUGCCCUUGACUUUGGGAUAACUUCAGGAAACUGGGGCUAAUACCGGAUAGGAGCUCCUGCUGCAUGGUGGGGGUUGGAAAGUUUCGGCGGUUGGGGAUGGACUCGCGGCUUAUCAGCUUGUUGGUGGGGUAGUGGCUGACCAAGGCUUUGACGGGUAGCCGGCCUGAGAGGGUGACCGGCCACAUUGGGCCUGAGAUACGGCCCAGAAUCCUACGGGAGGCAGCGGGGGGGAAUAUUGCACAAUGGGCGGAAGCCUGAUGCAGCAACGCCGCGUGCGGGAUGACGGCCUUCGGGUUGUAAACCGCUUUCGCCUGUGACGAAGCGUGAGUGACGGUAAUGGGUAAAGAAGCACCGGCUAACUACGUG